Molecule: non-coding RNA, 2509 nt
Organism: Pelodiscus sinensis (Chinese soft-shelled turtle)
Lineage: Eukaryota; Metazoa; Chordata; Testudines; Trionychidae
Source: RefSeq, a predicted model, not a curated record
GGGGGGGGGGCAUUUAGCCCUUCCCAGGGAGAUGGGGGCAGCGUACGAGAGGUGGAUCUUUGGGGGUGACCUCCCUUCAGCAGCCUCCUCACCUCUCCCCGUAGGCCCCACACCCGCCAGCCUUAGAAUUCAUGGGUGGUAGCUCCUGCCGGACACUCACUGUGCGGGGGAAUCUCUCGGCCCAGUUCAAGGGGUGUCCACGGCCUUUUGAUCUCCCUCUCCUGCUGGUCCCAGGCGCGGGGAGCUCUCCCCCCCCCAAAACUUGGGGAUUCAGCAAACUCCCAGCUCCAGCCCCCUUAAUGCAGGGGCAGGAUCCCUCCCUCCUCUCCUCUCCGUCCAUCCUGUCCCCUCCACCCGUGCUCCAAACCCCCUCCCCAGCCCUCUGCUGCAGUUGAACCCAGAGAGCCACAGAACCACCCCAGGCUCAUGUAGCACAUUUUGGGCAGAGAAGCGGGGGGGAGGGGGCUCUGCAGACCUCCCCAGCACCGAAUGAGCUUCCCAGAGCCAUCCCCUCAAAUACCUCUAUUUAUUUGGAAGGCAGAGCUUCAAACUCUCCAAUCAGCUUCCAGCUCCACCCACCAAUGAGAAGUCUGGGGCUCCUCCUUCCGGUGAAAGAUCUCCUCUGUGAUUGGCUAACUGCUAGCCAAUGGCUAGGAAGAUGUGCUUAUUUGGUGAUUCAGUUUCCCAUGGGGUCAUGGGCCAAGCUGGGAUGGGGCAGCUGGAGCCCGACAGAAUCCACAGCCCCACCAGCCAUAGCACGGAUUAGAACCCACCACCUGCUGAGCCCAAAGCCACCUGUGCAAAUUCUACAUCCCCAGUAGGGGGCAGUGGUGCAGGCACCACUGCAUUGCAGCAGGGUUGAGAGAGAUGCCAUUGCCUCUGGGCAAGGCUUCUCCAAACCUCCCCCCACCAGGAGAUGGCAUGCAGGAGUGGGAGGGGUAUUUAGUUGCACCACAUGGCCAGGCACCCAUGGGGGCCAAUCUGGGGCCCUUCUGGUACCCCCGCCCCACCUUGAACUGAGGGUACAGCGCUCCCAGCUGGGAGCUAGUAAAAGGUUGCCCUCAUGAGCACAUGAUCCCUGUGCCAAGUUCAGUGGGUUUAGCUCCCCCCUUUCCCGUCACACCCCUCUUUGGCCCAACCCCCAUCAUGUUACCCCUUCUCAUGGGCUGCGGUUAGCUGGAGAGGAAGCGGCAUCCCCGCUAGCUGCCCAGUAGGUGCCUGCAGCAUAGCGCUGCUAGCUUGGCAACUGCCGGUAUGUCUACACUACAGAGUUUUGUCGGAAAAACCUGAGUUACGUUCACACUGCAAGCACAUUCUUCCAAAAGUAAAUCGAAAGAACAGAGGGGUUUUUCCGGCGUUGGUAAUCCUCUUCCUACGAGGAAGAAGCCUUUUUCCGAAAGAGCUCUUUCAGAAACAGCUGUGUGUGGAUGGGGAAGAGGGAGUUCUUUCAGAAGAAGAGGAAAGAGGAAAAAGCACAGGUGCCCUGGUGGCCACUCCGUCCAUAGUCAUCAUAGCUUACAUGCGAGAAAGCGUCCAUUGAGUGUGGACACGAUCUUUUGAAAAGAUUGCUUUUUUUUUGUGCUUUCUCUCUUUUGGAAGAAGUUUUUUCUGAAGCUCUCUUCUGCAAAAAGGUUCUUCCGAAAGAAGCCUGCAGUCUAGACAUAGCCUGGGUCUUGGGAUUGGCCGUCCAUGGCAGCCACAGAGGGGGAGGGACCUGUCCAGCGGAUAGGGUGCCUGCAGCACCACUUGGUGGUGAGUAGGGCCACGCAAAUACCAAAUAAUGAGCAUCAAAUCUACGGCAGCCCAACUGAGAUCGGGGCCCCCGUUGUGCCAGGCACCACGCAAACCUUCAACAGGACCCACACACACACCUCAAGGACCUGACUCGCUAAACAGCCAAGCAGCGGGGAAGGGAAACCGAGGCACAGAGCAGGGUGGUGACUUGCCCAAGGUGACCCAGUAGGGCAAAGCUGGCAAGAGCACCUAGCCCAGUGCCUCCUCCAAUUGCCCAGCCCCAGUUCCCAUUGCCACCCUGCCUGGAGCCACAGCGCUUCCUGGCUGGCUGGAAACACCAGACGAGUCCCUGUGCCUUUAGACGUGACCUCGCCCCGCCCCCCGCGUCACCCCAAAACAUGGGCCAGUGAGAUCCUCAGGGCUGCACACUAAGGGCAAGUACUUCCCCUGGGGAAUUCGGUUUCCUUGGUGCGCUAGGGCCUGUGCCGAAUGCCUGUCUGCGCUUUCUCGUUCCUUCUUCCCUUUGUUUCUUCCCUGCUCUCUUCGUCUCUCCCUUGGAAUUCCGUUGCUCCGUCCUUCCUCUAUUCAAUAUGCCAAACCAAUUUUGGGUCGAGUGCAUUAAACAGAACAAAAGACAACAAAAGAAUUAUAACAAUAAUGAUGAUGCAGAUCAUUUAAAAAAAAAAAGAACAAAAAAAUACAAAAAAAAUGGCAACUAUUGUUGAGUUACAAUCGCGAAAUUCAAACAAUAAAGGAAACGAGUUCUUGGAACCAA